RNAcentral lists this ribosomal RNA (1275 nucleotides) under metagenome. RNAcentral describes it as "bacterial LSU rRNA". It matches the Rfam family "Bacterial large subunit ribosomal RNA", at positions 1658 to 2925 of the family's 2925-position model. The record is from RNAcentral.
UACUGGUGCGCGAGAUGAGUAUUCUAAGGCGCUUGAGAGAACUCAGGAGAAGGAACUCGGCAAAUUGACACCGUAACUUCGGAAGAAGGUGUGCCUUUAGUAGGUGAACCUGUACAAGGGGAGCCCAAUGAGGUUGCAAAAAAUCGGUGGCUGCGACUGUUUAAUAAAAACACAGCACUCUGCAAACACGAAAGUGGACGUAUAGGGUGUGACGCCUGCCCGGUGCUGGAAGAUUAAAUGAUGGGGUGCAAGCUCUUGAUUGAAGUCCCAGUAAACGGCGGCCGUAACUAUAACGGUCCUAAGGUAGCGAAAUUCCUUGUCGGGUAAGUUCCGACCUGCACGAAUGGCGUAACGAUGGCCACACUGUCUCCUCCUGAGACUCAGCGAAGUUGAAAUGUUUGUGAUGAUGCAAUCUCCCCGCGGAAAGACGGAAAGACCCCAUGAACCUUUACUGUAGCUUUGUAUUGGACUUUGAACAGAUCUGUGUAGGAUAGGUGGGAGGCUUUGAAGUGUGGUCGCUAGAUCGCAUGGAGCCAACGUUGAAAUACCACCCUGGUGUGUUUGAGGUUCUAACCUGGGCCCGUAAUCCGGGUCGGGGACAGUGCAUGGUAGGCAGUUUGACUGGGGCGGUCUCCUCCCAAAGCGUAACGGAGGAGUUCGAAGGUACGCUAGGUACGGUCGGACAUCGUGCUAAUAGUGCAAUGGCAUAUGCGUGCUUAACUGCGAGACUGACAAGUCGAGCAGAUGCGAAAGCAGGACAUAGUGAUCCGGUGGUUCUGUAUGGAAGGGCCAUCGCUCAACGGAUAAAAGGUACUCUGGGGAUAACAGGCUGAUACCGCCCAAGAGUUCAUAUCGACGGCGGUGUUUGGCACCUCGAUGUCGGCUCAUCUCAUCCUGGGGCUGUAGCCGGUCCCAAGGGUAUGGCUGUUCGCCAUUUAAAGAGGUACGUGAGCUGGGUUUAAAACGUCGUGAGACAGUUUGGUCCCUAUCUUCCGUGGGCGCUGCAGAUUUGAGGAAGCCUGCUCCUAGUACGAGAGGACCGGAGUGGACACACCUCUGGUGUAUCGGUUGUCACGCCAGUGGCAUUGCCGAGUAGCUAUGUGUGGAAGAGAUAACCGCUGAAAGCAUCUAAGCGGGAAACUCGUUUCAAGAUGAGAUCUGCCGGGGCCUUGAGCCCCCUAAAGAGUCGUUCAAGACCAGGACGUUGAUAGGUCGGGUGUGGAAGCGCAGUAAUGCGUUAAGCUAACCGAUACUAAUUGCUCGUGCGGCUUGACC